This 221-nucleotide unclassified non-coding RNA is filed under the name Hevea brasiliensis (rubber tree). Lineage: Eukaryota; Viridiplantae; Streptophyta; Magnoliopsida; Malpighiales; Euphorbiaceae. The record is from RNAcentral.
GUCGCUUCAUUGUGACUGUAAACAAAACCACCCAAUAGAAUAGAAGAAUAGGCCAAAACACAGGCACAUCGAACACACUGAAGAACGUCAGGACAAAAGCAAUACAGAAUGCUUUAACAAUGGAAUACCAGAAUUUGAACUCCGGAAGGCGACGGACGAAAGGGCGGAACUCGUCAGAUGCGCGGGUGGGGAGCGCGGCCCCCCCCUCGCCGAGCACCUCG